Salvia hispanica is the source of this 605-nucleotide non-coding RNA. Lineage: Eukaryota; Viridiplantae; Streptophyta; Magnoliopsida; Lamiales; Lamiaceae. The record is from RefSeq and is a predicted model, not a curated record.
GUUAAUUUUCAUCUUCUUCAUCUCCUGUUGUUUUUACAUCUUCUUCAACAAAUCUACCAUUAUUAUUGUUUUAUGUGUUGCUAAUAUUAUUCUACACUCCGUCGCCGUUUGUUUCAUCAAUUUAUUGCACCGUUUCUCCAUAAAUGGGAACCGUAGUAGAUCCUUCUUCGCUGGGAGACAAUCAAUCCAUUCUCUGAUGAUGUUGUAGAAAACACAGUUCGUGAAGCAAGCAGCAGAUUUUUGCCAAUGGCGUAGUAAUGUCUACAGCACAAAAGAAGAAACUAAUAGAGGACUUUUAUGGGACGGAGGCACCCUAAGAAGUAGAUGUUCACCCAGCAGAAGUCGCCAGCACGAAGGGAUCUGGUAGUAGAGUCCCCUCAAGAGUGGAGAAGGCUUUGAAGCUUAAGAGCAAGCCUAUGUGUCAAUGCAAGAAAUGUCAGGAGUGGGGUCACCGCGAUUGAAGGAAUUGCGACAAAUUCAAAGAGAAAGAAAAGCGACGGUCUAGAAGAAAUUUUGAAGUUUGAUACCAUGUAUUCUCUUUUUUGAAGUAACGUCAGUUUAAGUUUUUUAUUGGACUCCAUUUUAUUUGCAUUGUGAGGUUGUUU